Molecule: long non-coding RNA, 1094 nt
Filed under: Homo sapiens (human)
Lineage: Eukaryota; Metazoa; Chordata; Mammalia; Primates; Hominidae
Description: HSALNT0348228
Source: RNAcentral
AAUACGACACGUAAAGAAACCUGGAUUGAAACAAAGAAAUGAAGAACACUAGAAAUGAAAUAAAUAAAGGUAUCCUGGCUUCCUCCCACACCCCAAAGCUGUGCACACGAGGUGAACUAGCGUACCCACAUGGACCUCAUCUGUGUGAGUGUGGGUGUGUUUGAGUGCACCCUCUGAUGGCAUAUCAUCCUGUCCAGGGUCGUUCUUCUAUUGCUCUGAACUGCCAGGAGUGGCUCUACCCACCUGUGACCCCAAACUCGUCUCAGCAGACAUGGUUUCCCUUUAUCGCUGAAGCUGGAAUACAGGGAUUAUAGCUCACUGCAGCCUUCGGCUCCUGGGCUCAAGUGAUAAUCUUGCCUCGGUAUCCCAAGUUGCUGAGUACCUGAGACUAAAGAAUCUUGGGAUACUUCAGAGAACAAUUCUCAAACAACAACUUCAAACUGACAGACAGACUUCAAGGAACUAUGCAGGAUAGAUGGGUGGCCAAAUGACAAGCUUGGAAAGCUACAAGGGAGUGCUACCUGCUCCUCUCCGUCCAUUCUUUGCUCUCUACUCUGAACUCCAUGUCUUCCACCAAGGUUCACUUCACCACUGUGUCAUUAAAAUGUUCAGUACCAAUAUGCAGACUGUCCGCAAUGAUAGGUAUAAACUGUUCAAGAAGACACCCAUUUCUAGCAAAAUUUCUGACUCCUUUCAAAAUAAAAAUUGGCCCUCUUACAGUAAUUUCACACUGAUAUAUGGCAGGGAUUAAUCCAAAAUGCCUGCAUAUAUUCAGGAUAGCUUUCCUGAGUUGAUUGGCCUUUGACUGUGAAAUUUUAACUACAAAAAUCAAGUUUAUGAAUCAUAUUUGUAUGUACAAAGACAUUCACUGUCAACUGACCUGUGAAAACAUAAAUCAUAUUACCAGUAUGGGGAUUAUUAUUAUAAAAGAAAUCUUUAUGUAGAGAAGAAUUACUAAUGAGUCAAAGCAAACUCUCCCUUUUAAUGAACAAUUCCUGAAAUGUUUCAUAAUGCAGGAAAAAUUCCAGUCUGUCUACAACCCUUUCCCUAUAGCUCUGUGGUUCUGUAUGAUAAUGAGGGAAAUUUAUUAUUGC